UCCAGACUCCUACGGGAGGCAGCAGUCGGGAAUAUUGCGCAAUGGAGGAAACUCUGACGCAGUGACGCCGCGUGCAGGAAGAAGGUUUUCGGAUUGUAAACUGCUUUAGACAGGGAAGAUAAUGACAGUACCUGUAGAAUAAGCUCCGGCUAACUACGUGCCAGCAGCCGCGGUAAUACGUAGGGAGCAAGCGUUAUCCGGAUUUAUUGGGUUUAAAGGGUGCGUAGGCGGAUCGUUAAGUCAGUGGUCAAAUGGGGGGCCCCACCCCCUCCCCGCCAUUGAAACUGGCGUUCUUGAGUGGAAGAGAAGUAUGCGGAAUGCGUGGUGUAGCGGUGAAAUGCAUAGAUAUCACGCAGAACCCCGAUUGCGAAGGCAGCAUGCCGGCUUCCGACUGACGCUGAAGCAUGAAAGCGUGGGGAUCGAACAGGAUUAGAUACCCUAGUA
This 444-nucleotide ribosomal RNA is filed under the name uncultured bacterium. RNAcentral describes it as "bacterial SSU rRNA". It matches the Rfam family "Bacterial small subunit ribosomal RNA", at positions 330 to 792 of the family's 1533-position model. The record is from RNAcentral.